Molecule: long non-coding RNA, 211 nt
Filed under: Homo sapiens (human)
Lineage: Eukaryota; Metazoa; Chordata; Mammalia; Primates; Hominidae
Description: HSALNT0086970
Source: RNAcentral
AGGACAAUGUAAUGUAAUUUGAAAGGAAAUAAGAUUCUCUUUAGCCAAUUGAUAUCUGAAACUUAUGCUCUUAGAGCUGGGAACAUGAGGCAUAGCACUGGAGAUAGCUGUUAGAACAGAAUGAGAGUUAGAAAGAAUAGCUGUGACCCACAGCUCAGGAAGCUGGAAAAAUUUCUAAGGAACAGGAAAACUUAGAGCUUGCUACCCACUA